RNAcentral lists this long non-coding RNA (354 nucleotides) under Manacus vitellinus (golden-collared manakin). RNAcentral's name for it is "lncRNA (ENSMVIG00005008069.1)". The record is from RNAcentral. Lineage: Eukaryota; Metazoa; Chordata; Aves; Passeriformes; Pipridae.
CAUUAAGAGGUCAUGCAAACUCCCAAGCUAAACAAGGCAUUCUUACAUAUUUAACAUUCAAAUGCAGAAGCCGAGCUAAGCCAUGGAAGAUUGUAAUCAGAAAAAGCUACACUUCCUGAUCCACACAAAACCUGCAGGUUCUUUAAACAGGAGACAGAUUGCUAACAUUUGGGGCUGAAAUCCGGAGGUUAUUUUGGAAUGGGAAAACUACUUGCUGCUUGGAUCCAUGACAACCAUGUAGAUACUAGUCACUCGAUUUAACAAUCUACACCACCAUGGUAAGCCAUAUUCCAAAGACUGGGUCUCAGGUCACUGGUAGUUGUGUUCUGCAAUAAGUUGGAGUGACUGGGUAUA